GAAGGGAGCUUGCUCCCGGAUGUUAGCGGCGGACGGGUGAGUAACACGUGGGUAACCUGCCUGUAAGACUGGGAUAACUCCGGGAAACCGGAGCUAAUACCGGAUAGUUCCUUGAACCGCAUGGUUCAAGGAUGAAAGACGGUUUCGGCUGUCACUUACAGAUGGACCCGCGGCGCAUUAGCUAGUUGGUGAGGUAACGGCUCACCAAGGCGACGAUGCGUAGCCGACCUGAGAGGGUGAUCGGCCACACUGGGACUGAGACACGGCCCAGACUCCUACGGGAGGCAGCAGUAGGGAAUCUUCCGCAAUGGACGAAAGUCUGACGGAGCAACGCCGCGUGAGUGAUGAAGGUUUUCGGAUCGUAAAGCUCUGUUGUUAGGGAAGAACAAGUGCAAGAGUAACUGCUUGCACCUUGACGGUACCUAACCAGAAAGCCACGGCUAACUACGUGCCAGCAGCCGCGGUAAUACGUAGGUGGCAAGCGUUGUCCGGAAUUAUUGGGCGUAAAGGGCUCGCAGGCGGUUUCUUAAGUCUGAUGUGAAAGCCCCCGGCUCAACCGGGGAGGGUCAUUGGAAACUGGGAAACUUGAGUGCAGAAGAGGAGAGUGGAAUUCCACGUGUAGCGGUGAAAUGCGUAGAGAUGUGGAGGAACACCAGUGGCGAAGGCGACUCUCUGGUCUGUAACUGACGCUGAGGAGCGAAAGCGUGGGGAGC
This 713-nucleotide ribosomal RNA is filed under the name Bacillus sp. FJAT-17432. Its description in RNAcentral is "bacterial SSU rRNA". It matches the Rfam family "Bacterial small subunit ribosomal RNA", at positions 71 to 769 of the family's 1533-position model. The record is from RNAcentral. Lineage: Bacteria; Bacillati; Bacillota; Bacilli; Caryophanales; Bacillaceae.